GACGAACGCUGGCGGCGCGCCUAACACAUGCAAGUCGAACGAGCGAGAGAGAGCUUGCUUUCUUGAGCGAGUGGCGAACGGGUGAGUAACGCGUGAGGAACCUGCCUCAAAGAGGGGGACAACAGUUGGAAACGACUGCUAAUACCGCAUAAGCCCACGGUGCCGCAUGGCACAGAGGGAAAAGGAGCAAUCCGCUUUGAGAUGGCCUCGCGUCCGAUUAGCUAGUUGGUGAGGUAACGGCCCACCAAGGCGACGAUCGGUAGCCGGACUGAGAGGUUGAACGGCCACAUUGGGACUGAGACAAGGCCCAGACUCCUACGGGAGGCAGCAGUGGGGAAUAUUGCACAAUGGGGGAAACCCUGAUGCAGCGACGCCGCGUGGAGGAAGAAGGUCUUCGGAUUGUAAACUCCUGUUGUUGGGGAAGAUAAUGACGGUACCCAACAAGGAAGUGACGGCUAACUACGUG
This 466-nucleotide ribosomal RNA is filed under the name uncultured bacterium. RNAcentral's name for it is "partial 16S ribosomal RNA". It matches the Rfam family "Bacterial small subunit ribosomal RNA", at positions 28 to 507 of the family's 1533-position model. The record is from RNAcentral.